GUGUCAGCAGCCGCGGUAAGACGAACCGUGCGAACGUUGUUCGGAAUCACUGGGCUUAAAGGGCGCGUAGGCGGGUUCGCAAGUCUGUGGUGAAAGCCCCCGGCUUAACCGGGGAAGGGCCGUGGAUACUGCGAAUCUUGAGGAGGGUAGGGGCAUCUGGAACGGUCGGUGGAGCGGUGAAAUGCGUUGAUAUCGACCGGAACUCCGGUGGCGAAGGCGAGGUGCUGGACCCUUUCUGACGCUGAGGCGCGAAAGCCAGGGGAGCAAACGGGAUUAGAUACCCCCGUAGUCC
Molecule: ribosomal RNA, 292 nt
Filed under: uncultured bacterium
Lineage: Bacteria
Description: partial 16S ribosomal RNA
Rfam family: Bacterial small subunit ribosomal RNA
Source: RNAcentral